Long non-coding RNA from Panicum virgatum (switchgrass), 1523 nucleotides. RefSeq lists it as uncharacterized. Lineage: Eukaryota; Viridiplantae; Streptophyta; Magnoliopsida; Poales; Poaceae. The record is from RefSeq and is a predicted model, not a curated record. The transcript is spliced from 3 exons.
CCCACCCCCCUCGCGCCUACCGCCGCCGCCAAGAACCCGCGCCCAGCCCCCGACGCCGCACCACCCAAAACCGCCACCACCGCCAUAGAACCCGCGCCCAGAGCCCGACGCUGCACCACCAAAACCGCCCAGCUCAGAUCCCUGCCGUCGCUGCUCCUUCUUCCCCACACUCGCCCCCGAUCCCGGCGUCCAUCUCGAAUUGGUGCCCCCAAUCCUGGCACCCAGUCACUGCUCCCUCCUCCAGACGUGACCCCAAUCCCGACGCCCAGCUCGGAUAUAUCCUGGCAGCGCUGCAUCAACCUGCCGUCGCCGCUCCUUCACCCCCAGACGCGUCCCCAACUCCAGCGCCGCACCACCCCCAUCCCGGCGUGUCUCGGGGGAUCCUUUUCACCCCCUCCUACCGCGCCGCCGAGAGCCUCCCGCCAGCGCGCUGCAUCCUCACAACGUAGAGCUUCAGAGGUACCCCCUACUAGAGCCGUGGCGAGACCCUGCGCCGUCGGCGACCCUCCUGGCGAUGCGUUGUUUUUCCGCCCCGUGCCUCCCCGGCGAGCUGUAGGCGUCCGUGCAGUGUGGACAUAGCAACCCUGUGUUGGAGAUAUGGUGCCGGCGCCGCGAGGUGUUGUUCUUUCCCUCCAUCGCAGAUCCCCCAACCCCACAGGCCUCCACCGCGCCAUUGUGUUUGGCCGCCACCGAUUCCAUCGAUGUUCUCCAUCCGUGAGCCCACAUCGUCUUUCUCAUUAUCUUCUCUCUUCGCUCAUCCCCUUUAAAUACCUCACCAGGUGAUUCCAUUUGAUCUGUUGCCUUAUUAAUAUAUGUGCGAAGAAAUACGGCUUGGGUGAGAUUUCAUCCGAUUGGCUGCUGUUCUAGUCCCUAACGUGAUGAGUUUGUGACUCUCAUUGAUGGUGGGAUCGAUCCUGAUGCGUGUUCACCCAUCCCUGGCUGACAAGCUUUUUUUUAGAUUAAGGAAAAACAACCGGCCUCUCCCCUGGCCGACGAGCUGGUGGCAUGCCUGAUGAGCUGGUGGCCAUGAGCAGAUGAACGACGUGCAACAACACCCAAAUACUGAAUCAAGCAUCCAGCAGAGAGGACAAGUGCCGCAGCCCCUGCACUCAGAUCAGAGACCAUUUCCACCAGAGCAUCUUUGGCGACCAUAACAUUUGUAUGCCACGGAUCAGCUCAAACUGGACUUCAUCUCCGAAGAAAGGAAUGCCCCCUGCGCUGGGUUACUACUGGGGCUAAUGUGUACUGAAGAAUUAUUGAAGAUUGACAUUGACUUAAGCAGCGACACACCUGCAUAGCACCUCAUGAUCCUGUGUAUUCUAUGACAUCAAACAUUGUUUUUUUGCAAUUAUGUAGUGCUUUGACUGUGGCUUGUGUUUCCUGAAGUUGCUUGGGUGUGGGGUACAGUAGUUUGUAAAUUUUUGCCUGCGCAGACAGACCAUGUUUGUUAAAUUUGUUCUUUCGAGUAUAUAAGAACAUGUGUAUUCACAUCUUGUUCACCUAUAAUUAAUGCAUUUCGAAUA